UACGAAGGGUGCAAGCGUUACUCGGAAUUACUGGGCGUAAAGCGUGCGUAGGUGGUUUGUUAAGUCUGUUGCGAAAGCCCCGGGCUCAACCUGGGAAUGGCAAUGGAUACUGGCAGGCUAGAGUGCGGUAGAGGGUAGUGGAAUUCCCGGUGUAGCGGUGAAAUGCGUAGAGAUCGGGAGGAACACCAGUGGCGAAGGCGGCUACCUGGACCAGCACUGACACUGAGGCACGAAAGCGUGGGGAGCAAACAGG
Molecule: ribosomal RNA, 253 nt
Filed under: uncultured bacterium
Lineage: Bacteria
Description: partial 16S ribosomal RNA
Rfam family: Bacterial small subunit ribosomal RNA
Source: RNAcentral